ACGAACGCUGGCGGCACGCUUAACACAUGCAAGUCGAACGAGAACUUCGGAGCUUGCUCCGAGGGGACAGUGGCGAACGGGUGAGUAACACGUGAGAAACCUGCCCCGAAGACCGGGAUAACACCGGGAAACCGGUGCUAAUACCGGAUGCCCUCUCCGGAUCGCAUGAUCCGGAGAGGAAAUGGAUUCCGCUUCGGGAUGGUCUCGCGGCCUAUCAGCUUGUUGGUGGGGUAACGGCCUACCAAGGCUUCGACGGGUAGCUGGUCUGAGAGGAUGUCCAGCCACACUGGGACUGAGACACGGCCCAGACUCCUACGGGAGGCAGCAGUGGGGAAUCUUGCGCAAUGGGCGAAAGCCUGACGCAGCGAUGCCGCGUGCGGGAUGAAGGCCUUCGGGUUGUAAACCGCUUUCAGCAGGGACGAAAUUGACGGUACCUGCAGAAGACGCCCCGGCCAACUACGU
Molecule: ribosomal RNA, 462 nt
Filed under: uncultured bacterium
Lineage: Bacteria
Description: bacterial SSU rRNA
Rfam family: Bacterial small subunit ribosomal RNA
Source: RNAcentral